RNAcentral lists this ribosomal RNA (460 nucleotides) under uncultured bacterium. Its description in RNAcentral is "partial 16S ribosomal RNA". It matches the Rfam family "Bacterial small subunit ribosomal RNA", at positions 338 to 795 of the family's 1533-position model. The record is from RNAcentral.
CCUACGGGUGGCAGCAGUGAGGAAUAUUGGUCAAUGGACGGAAGUCUGAACCAGCCAUGCCGCGUGCAGGAUGACUGCUCUAUGAGUUGUAAACUGCUUUUGUACGAGAAUAAUAGUUCUUACGUGUAGGGAUUUGAAUGUAUCUUAUGAAUAAGGAUCGGCUAACUCCGUGCCAGCAGCCGCGGUAAUACGGAGGAUUCGAGCGUUAUCCGGAUUUAUUGGGUUUAAAGGGUGCGUAGGCUGUCGGAUAAGUUAGAGGUCAAAUGUCGCGGCUUAACCCCGUGACUGCCACUGAUACUGUUAGACUAGAGAACAGAUGAAGCAGGCGGAAUGAGUAGUGUAGCGGUGAAAUGCUUAGAUAUUACGAAGAACACCGAUUGCGAAGGCAGCUUGCUAAUCCGCCACUGACGCUGAUGCACGAAAGCGUGGGUAGCGAACAGGAUUAGAUACCCCAGUAGUC